CCGUAUUUCAAUAACAGCAGGAAGGGCAGAUUACUCCUGGCUGAGGAGAGAGCGAUUUUAAAAGGUACCCAACACCUGGAUCUUACUUGUGCAUCUACGUCU
Octopus sinensis (East Asian common octopus) is the source of this 102-nucleotide long non-coding RNA. RefSeq lists it as uncharacterized. The record is from RefSeq and is a predicted model, not a curated record. The transcript has 3 exons. NCBI's taxonomy places the organism in Eukaryota, Metazoa, Mollusca, Cephalopoda, Octopoda, Octopodidae.